This 440-nucleotide ribosomal RNA is filed under the name uncultured bacterium. RNAcentral's name for it is "partial 16S ribosomal RNA". It matches the Rfam family "Bacterial small subunit ribosomal RNA", at positions 338 to 795 of the family's 1533-position model. The record is from RNAcentral.
CCUACGGGUGGCAGCAGUGGGGGAUAUUGCACAAUGGGGGAAACCCUGAUGCAGCGACGCCGCGUGGGUGAAGAAGUAUUUCGGUAUGUAAAGCUCUAUCAGCAGGGAAGAAAAUGAAAGGACCUGACCAAAAAGCCCCGGCUAACUACGGUCCAACAGGCGCGGGAAUACGUAGGGGGCAGACGUUAUCCGGAUUUACUGGGGGUAAAGGGGGCGGAGACGGGUAGGUAAGCCGGGAGUGAAAGCCCGGGGCCCAACCCCGGGACUGCUUUUGAAACUGUGUAACUGGAGUACAGGAGGGGCAGGCGGAAUUCCUGGUGUAGCGGUGAAAUGCGUAGAUAUCAGGAGGAACACCGGCGGCGAAGGCGGCCUGCUGGACCGAAACUGACGUUGAGGCUCGAAAGCGUGGGGAGCAAACAGGAUUAGAUACCCCGGUAGUC